Petromyzon marinus (sea lamprey) is the source of this 2691-nucleotide non-coding RNA. NCBI's taxonomy places the organism in Eukaryota, Metazoa, Chordata, Hyperoartia, Petromyzontiformes, Petromyzontidae. The record is from RefSeq and is a predicted model, not a curated record.
AAUAAUUGAGUGCUGUUCGCCGCCGUCUCUCUGGCGCUGUUCUCGAGGCGACACCACGCGCCUGCCCUGCAGAGGGCGCCAGAGGCCCGCCUCGCUGCGUGCCUGCGAAGCCUCCCCGAUGGCCACUCAGGCCGACAAGACUGCGCGUUGAGUGGGGGGACACUCAUGGCACAUCCCACACAGGCUGCUGUGCCGUGCACUCAUACUGUAAUGGAUGGGCGACAGCUUCGGGAGGCCUCCGUCCAGCAGAGGAUAGAUGAUGGCUGAUGAUAAUGACAAACCGAGGCUUGAGGGACCCUGACAAAGGAAAUGGAGCAGCAACUGCAGAGUGCACACGGAAAGCACGGAGAGGCACCACGAUGGGAAUCACGCGGAGAGACUGUCCGGGUAGCGGGCGUGAGAGUGGUGGACGCGCAUCUUGCAAGGUUUGAUGCCCAGUGGGCGAGCCUGGCGAUGGAAUGGCGGCAGAGGGAGAGAGCGAGCCCCAGAGGGCGUCCGCCGAGGAGACGGAGUCCACGGUGGGAUCGGCUUGUGCGCGAGCGGGGACGGCGUGGGGCUUUAGCGUUGCAGGACUGCACGGCAUUGGCCCACGGCGUGGGGAGAUCUGCAUCCAGCAGUAGACGGAGCUCGCUCCCUGAUCAUCUCACUCUCUGGUCCCCGUGCCUCUGCUGGACAUCUGUGAAAAAGAGCUUCAUAGCUUCGUCAGGUUCCUCCAGAAUAAAUAAACAUUCUGAUGAUGAUGAAUAAUUAUGUGUAAUUUGCAGGCCUUCCAUCAGUCCACUGCUGGAUGAAAGUCUCCCCCACACACCAUGUGAGUCAAGGGGGCUUUUUGACCCGACCGCACCGCGUUGGUCAUCGCUGUCGGAAGGGGGUCAGGAGGCACGGAGCGGUCCACGUAACCCGCUGUGUCCCUGUGCCGGCCACGCGGCGCCCCGCACACACACACAGACACCGCACGAGCCACGUGCAUCGCGGCUGCUUUAACGAACGCAGGUUAAUUAAUUAAUGAAACCUCCCCCAUUUUUAUUGCACAAGAAUCGCGGAGUAAGAUGUUGGUCGGCUGACAGAUCCUUCUCAAGAACGCGCACGUCAACACGCACGCUCGCUGCGGCGGAUGAUACCUUCACGUGAAUAAUUAUUUUUGUGAGUCAUUGCGAUGAUGGUGGCAGAGAUAAUGAGGGUAAGAAGGGAGCAUUAAUUCGAUGGGUGCUCAGGUUGAUGAAAACCCUCUUGAAAGGUUUAUUUUCUGUCCCCCCCCCACUCGCUCUCACCGGGCGGAGGGGCUCUCUCGGCAGCGGCCGCCGCCACCGCCGCCGUGGGUGCCGGGCUCGGCGGGGGGAGCCCUCGCGCCAGAUGCUCCACGUGCCGUGCAGCCGCCCGUAAAUUCUCCGUGUCGGGGCCCAACCUGUAAACGAUACUGUUUUAUUUCCUUUUAUUGGGGCGAAAGAAAUCAAAUCUCGCCGCCGAAAUGUCAGGCUGUGACGCGGCAAAGCACGGCAGGACAAUUAUGCUAAUGCGCAAUCUGUUGAGGGGAAAAUUCUCCGCUCCCCGAGGUCAUUUUCACCGCAAGUGUCUAUUCAUUGCUCACCUUCCCUUCCCUCGCCACCGCCUGUGAUGUCUCCGCAGAGUGCCACGGUGCCGCUCCUCGUGGGAAGAUCAAGUUGUCUCAAAGUUGUUUUUGAAACUACAAUCCCCUUGCAUUCAUCUCGCUUUCUCCAUUAUAUUUUAUUGAAAAAUAAAUUAGGUGCGCUGUAUAUACAUUUUUUUGCGUCCACUGUGCGACGUGAUAACCCGAGGAUGCCUCGUGGUCCUGCUAAGAUAAAUACAUUUUUGAAAAAUGAAUCGCUCUGAAUGAGACGUCCGCGCUUUACGGCAGCAGACUGUCCCGCUACCAGGGGCCCCGAAAAGACGAGCUAAUAGAAUUACUUUACGCGAGGCAGCUCGUUUACAUCGUGUGCAGCUCGUUGGCGGGUCGACGCCGCUUGCUUCCCGAGAAUUCUCCCCGCCGCCGUGUGGCGUCGAUCGGACGAGGAGGAGGAGGAGGGGGCAGGCUCCUCGCCCCCCCCCCCCCUGCGUACCGGGGCCCCCAGGGCGGGCCGCCGGCCGGAGUCGCGUUCCCCGGCGGGAGGGACGGGCGGGACGGCGGGACCGGUGGGGUCACGUGGCGCCCCGUGCCCGGCGAGCGCCAUCUGGGCUGGGGGUUCGGGUUCGGACGGCCCCCUCACCAAGUGAGAGCGCCCUACCUCGGAGCACACCACACGGCGCGUAUCAUCAUACGCUCAUUAUAUAAAAAUCUUGAGAGGAGCCGCGGUUUUGCAAGUGCUAUUUUGCUAAUUAAAUGAACACCGAGAUCUCACUAGAUUAUGAGCGUGACAUUUAAAAUCCGCAUACCCCGCUGAAAGGUGUAUAUACUAUUUUGGUAUUUUCUACGUUCUGAGGAAUGGAGCGGUGCUGCUGAAUUUGACGAUCUCCCGGCGCAUUCAAAAUCCUUUCAUUUCUUUCUUCGCAUCUCUCUCCUUUUAAACUUGUGUUUCGUUUGUGCGCACGCGCCCGCGCCGUGCGCGUGUGCCUUUGAACCAUUCCGCCGUUUGUUGGAAUAAAUGUUAUUGACUGUUAAUAUUUUUAGAGGUCAGGGGACCGCGUGAAAUAAAUAACGUCGCUUGACGCUCCGCGUUCACGUGGAAGUUGCAA